AAUGAACGCUGGCGGCGUGCCUAACACAUGCAAGUCGAACGGCAGCACAGUAAGAUUUUGCUCUUCCUGUUGGCGGGUGGCGGGCGGGUGACGCGUGCAUCCUAAUCUUCUUUUUCGGGGAGGAUUACGUAAGUCAGGUUACUCUAGUACAGCAUAUGAUGUACCGGUGAGAGCAGUGGAGCUUCUCGGCUUUGGCGGUUGGAUUAGCUGAGGUCGCACUAGCUAGUUGGGAGGGUAAAGGCCUACCAAGGCGACGAUACGUAGCCGGCCUGAGAGGAUGAUCGGCCACAUUGGAACUGAGACACGGUCCAGACUCCUACGGGAGGCAGCAGUCGGGAAUCUUCGGCAAUGGGCGAAAGCCUGACGCAGCGACGCCGCGUGGGUGAAGAAGGCCUUCGGAUCGUAAAGCUCUGUUGUUGGGGAAGAACAGCUGUAGGAUUAUACGUAGCCGUCUUGACGGUACCUAAUGAAAAAGCACCGGCUAACUACGUG
RNAcentral lists this ribosomal RNA (492 nucleotides) under uncultured bacterium. RNAcentral describes it as "partial 16S ribosomal RNA". It matches the Rfam family "Bacterial small subunit ribosomal RNA", at positions 29 to 507 of the family's 1533-position model. The record is from RNAcentral.